Molecule: ribosomal RNA, 364 nt
Filed under: Streptococcus pneumoniae
Lineage: Bacteria; Bacillati; Bacillota; Bacilli; Lactobacillales; Streptococcaceae
Description: partial 23S ribosomal RNA
Rfam family: Bacterial large subunit ribosomal RNA
Source: RNAcentral
AGUGAACUGAAACAUCUAAGUAGCUGCAGGAAGAGAAAGCAAAAGCGAUUGCCUUAGUAGCGGCGAGCGAAACGGCAAGAGGGCAAACCGAAGAGUUUACUCUUCGGGGUUGUAGGACUGCAACGUGGACUUAAAGAUUAUAGAAGAACUACCUGGGAAGGUAGGCCAAAGAGAGUAAUAGCCUCGUAUUCGAAAUAGUCUUUAUACCUAGCAGUAUCCUGAGUACGGCGAGACACGAGAAAUCUCGUCGGAAUCUGGGAGGACCAUCUCCCAACCCUAAAUACUCUCUAGUGACCGAUAGUGAACCAGUACCGUGAGGGAAAGGUGAAAAGCACCCCGGGAGGGGAGUGAAAUAGAACCUGAA